RNAcentral lists this ribosomal RNA (373 nucleotides) under uncultured bacterium. RNAcentral's name for it is "bacterial SSU rRNA". It matches the Rfam family "Bacterial small subunit ribosomal RNA", at positions 525 to 896 of the family's 1533-position model. The record is from RNAcentral.
ACAGAGGUGGCAAGCGUUGUUCGGAUUUAUUGGGCGUAAAGGGUCCGUAGGCGGUCCGGAAAGUCGGAUGUGAAAUCCUACAGCUUAACUGUAGAACUGCAUUCGAAACUUCCAGACUAGAGUAUGAGAGGGGUAAAGGGAAUUCCCGGUGUAAGGGUGAAAUCUGCAGAGAUCGGGAGGAACACCAGUCGCGAAGGCGCUUUACUGGCUCAUUACUGACGCUCAGGGACGAAAGCUAGGGGAGCAAACGGGAUUAGAUACCCCGGUAGUCCUAGCCGUAAACUAUGGUCACUAGGUGUUGGGGGGGUUAAACCCUUCAGUGCCGCCGCUAACGCAUUAAGUGACCCGCCUGGGGAGUACGGUCGCAAGGCUG